UGAACGCUAGCUACAGGCUUAACACAUGCAAGUCGAGGGGCAGCAUGGUCUUAGCUUGCUAAGGCCGAUGGCGACCGGCGCACGGGUGAGUAACACGUAUCCAACCUGCCGUCUACUCUUGGACAGCCUUCUGAAAGGAAGAUUAAUACAAGAUGGCAUCAUGAGUCCGCAUGUUCACAUGAUUAAAGGUAUUCCGGUAGACGAUGGGGAUGCGUUCCAUUAGAUAGUAGGCGGGGUAACGGCCCACCUAGUCUUCGAUGGAUAGGGGUUCUGAGAGGAAGGUCCCCCACAUUGGAACUGAGACACGGUCCAAACUCCUACGGGAGGCAGCAGUGAGGAAUAUUGGUCAAUGGGCGAGAGCCUGAACCAGCCAAGUAGCGUGAAGGAUGACUGCCCUAUGGGUUGUAAACUUCUUUUAUAAAGGAAUAAAGUCGGGUAUGGAUACCCGUUUGCAUGUACUUUAUGAAUAAGGAUCGGCUAACUCCGUGCCAGCAGCCGCGGUAAUACGGAGGAUCCGAGCGUUAUCCGGAUUUAUUGGGUUUAAAGGGAGCGUAGAUGGAUGUUUAAGUCAGUUGUGAAAGUUUGCGGCUCAACCGUAAAAUUGCAGUUGAUACUGGAUAUCUUGAGUGCAGUUGAGGCAGGCGGAAUUCGUGGUGUAGCGGUGAAAUGCUUAGAUAUCACGAAGAACUCCGAUUGCGAAGGCAGCCUGCUAAGCUGCAACUGACAUUGAGGCUCGAAAGUGUGGGUAUCAAACAGGAUUAGAUACCCUGGUAGUCCACACGGUAAACGAUGAAUACUCGCUGUUUGCGAUAUACAGCAAGCGGCCAAGCGAAAGCGUUAAGUAUUCCACCUGGGGAGUACGCCGGCAACGGUGAAACUCAAAGGAAUUGACGGGGGCCCACACAAGCGGAGGAACAUGUGGUUUAAUUCGAUGAUACGCGAGGAACCUUACCCGGGCUUAAAUUGCAGAUGAAUUACGGUGAAAGCCGUAAGCCGCAAGGCAUCUGUGAAGGUGCUGCAUGGUUGUCGUCAGCUCGUGCCGUGAGGUGUCGGCUUAAGUGCCAUAACGAGCGCAACCCUUGUUGUCAGUUACUAACAGGUUCCGCUGAGGACUCUGACAAGACUGCCAUCGUAAGAUGUGAGGAAGGUGGGGAUGACGUCAAAUCGGCACGGCCCUUACGUCCGGGGCUACACACGUGUUACAAUGGGGGGUACAGAGGGCCGCUACCACGCGAGUGGAUGCCAAUCCCCAAAACCUCUCUCAGUUCGGACUGGAGUCUGCAACCCGACUCCACGAAGCUGGAUUCGCUAGUAAUCGCGCAUCAGCCACGGCGCGGUGAAUACGUUCCCGGGCCUUGUACACACCGCCCGUCAAGCCAUGGGAGCCGGGGGUACCUGAAGUGCGUAACCGCGAGGAGCGCCCUAGGGCAAAACUGGUGACUGGG
RNAcentral lists this ribosomal RNA (1445 nucleotides) under uncultured organism. RNAcentral's name for it is "SSU rRNA". It matches the Rfam family "Bacterial small subunit ribosomal RNA". The record is from RNAcentral.